GCCGAAGUGGUGGAAUUGGUAGACACGCAGCGUUCAGAGCGCUGUCCCGUUUACGGGGUGAGAGUUCAAGUCUCUCCUUCGGCACCA
RNAcentral lists this transfer RNA (87 nucleotides) under Candidatus Kerfeldbacteria bacterium CG_4_9_14_3_um_filter_45_8. Its description in RNAcentral is "tRNA-Leu". It matches the Rfam family "tRNA". Rfam says of the family: Transfer RNA (tRNA) molecules are approximately 80 nucleotides in length. Their secondary structure includes four short double-helical elements and three loops (D, anti-codon, and T loops). RNAcentral also lists the same sequence under 1 other name. Lineage: Bacteria; Candidatus Kerfeldiibacteriota. The record is from RNAcentral.